CAAAUGGCCCCAAAUUGGCCCUAUGGGACCCUAUGGGACCCCAAAGUGACCCUAAAUGGCUUCAAAUGGACCCCAAAUGGCCCUAAAUGGCCACAAAUGGCCCUAAAUGGCCCUAAAAUGGCCCUAAAUGGACCCCAAAUGACCCUAUGGGACCCUAUGGGACCCCAAAUGACCCUAUGGGACCUCAAAUGGCCCUAAAUGGCCCCAAAAUGAACCCUAAGUGACCCUAAAUGGCCCCAAAUGACUCUAUGGGACCCUAUGGGACCCCAAAUGACACUAAAUGGCCCCAAAUUGGCCCUAAAUGACCCAAAAUGAUCCCAAAUGGCCCUUAAUGGUCCCAAAUUGGCCCUAUGGGACCCUAUGGGAAUCCAAAGUGACCCCAAAUGGCCCUAAAUGACCCUAUGGGAUCCUAUGGGACCCCAAAGUGUCCCCAAAGUGACCCUAAAUGGCCCUAAAUGGCCCCAAAAUGAUCCCAAAUGGCCCUAAAUGGUCCCAAAUUGACCCUAUGGGACCCUAUGGGACCCCAAAGUGACCCUAAAUGGCUUCAAAUGGACCCCAAAUGGCCCUAAAUGGCCCUAAAUGGCACCAAAUGACCCCAAAUGGCCCUAUGGGACCCCAAAUUGGCCCUAAAUGGCCCUAAAGUGACCCCAAAUGGCCCUAUGGGACCCUAUGGGACCCCAAAGUGACCCUAAAUGGCUUCAAAUGGACCCUAAAUGGCCCUAAAUGGCCCCAAACUGGCCCUAAAUGGCCCUAAAUGGCCACAAAUGGCCCCAGAAUGAUCCCAAAUGGCCCUAAAUGGCCCCAAAUUGGCCCUAUGGGAUCCUAUGGGAACCCAAAGUGACCCUAAAUGGCCCUAAAUGGCCUAAAAUGGCCCCAAAAUGAACCCUAAGUGACCCCAAAUGGCCCCAAAUGACCCUAUGGGACCCUAUGGGAACCCAAAUGGCCCUAAAUGGCCCUAAAUGGCCUCAAAAUGAUCCCAAAUGGCCCUAAAUGGCCCUAAAUGACCCUAUGGGACCCUAUGGGACCCCAAAGUGUCCCCAAAGUGACCUAAAAUGGCCCUAAAUGGCCCCAAAUUGACCCUAUGGGAACCUAUGGGACC
Molecule: long non-coding RNA, 1099 nt
Filed under: Coturnix japonica (Japanese quail)
Lineage: Eukaryota; Metazoa; Chordata; Aves; Galliformes; Phasianidae
Description: lncRNA (ENSCJPG00005001788.1)
Source: RNAcentral